GACGAACGCUGGCGGCGUGCUUAACACAUGCAAGUCGAACGGAAAGGCCCUGCUUUUGUGGGGUGCUCGAGUGGCGCACGGGUGAGAAACACGUGUGUAACCUGCCCUUGACUUUCGGAUAACUUCAGGAAACUGGGGCUAAUACCGGAUAGGAGCUCUUGCUGCGUGGUGGGGGUUGGAAAGUUUCGGCGGUUGGGGAAUGACUCGCGGCUUAUCCGCUUGUUGGUGGGGUUGUUGCUUACCAAGGCUUUGACGGAUAGGCGGCCUGAGAGGGGGGCCGGGCACCAGGGGCAUACGGGAGGGCCCAGAAGCCGACGGGAAGCAGGAGGGGGGAACCUUGCACAAUGGGGGGGAGCCCGAGUCGGGAAUGCCGGGUUCGGGAUGGUGGGCUUCUGGUGGUAAACCGCUUUCGACUUGGAUGAAGGGUUAGUGACGGUAAUGGGUGAAGAAGCACCGGCUAACUACGUG
This 468-nucleotide ribosomal RNA is filed under the name uncultured bacterium. RNAcentral's name for it is "partial 16S ribosomal RNA". It matches the Rfam family "Bacterial small subunit ribosomal RNA", at positions 28 to 507 of the family's 1533-position model. The record is from RNAcentral.